AAGUGACUGUAGGUUUAGAUGAAUGGAAAAUGAACUUGCCAGUUCACAGCUAUGUCCUUCCCAAUUUAGGAGGUUAAGGGCAGGAAAAACAUGAGAAACUCUUUUGAGAAGCUGCACAAGCUGACAUGGAGGAUCAAGGAUUUCAAAAGCUUUGAAUAUAAAGAGGUGUCAGACUUACAUCAGAGCCUGAGACUUGACAUGCCUAUUUUUGCACUCGCUCAUUUUUCAAAUUUCAUAGGCAUUGCUCCCUCCAAAUCACCGCUCUUCUAAUUUUAUCCUGGAGUGUGCAUCCCAGAAGACAUAAGCUGACACAAUUGGGAACUGAAGUUGCUUGAAAAAGCUGGUGGGAUCAGCAUCAUAUAUCACUAUUUCUCAAAGAUUAUCUGGUCUCUUGAUGGCAAAUCUACAAUAUUGAAACCUUUGAAAGAGAAAUUGUGUUUUGUGAGUUACAUGACUACCGUUUGCAUCCAAGGUCUCCUCUGUAGUCAAGAGAAGAAUGCAGAAACUACAUGUCCAAGAAUCUCUUUCCAGACUCUAGACAGCUUAUACGUAUUUGGACAAGGCAACGUGAUGAAGAAAUAAUAUAAUUGUAGGAUCACCUCUGUCCAGUAGCUGUUAUCCAACAUCUGCAUACUUAGAUUUCUGGAGAGCCCUAUGCCUUCACAAGAACAAGUUCCCACACCAGGGUCAAGAAGGAAACCGUAAGUCAAGACAAAAGUGCCCAGUGAAGGCAGAAGAUGAGGGGUCUCAGGUUGCAUCUUCGGAGGCACGAGGAUUCAAAGGUGAACAAAG
This 792-nucleotide long non-coding RNA is filed under the name Homo sapiens (human). RNAcentral describes it as "PREDICTED lncRNA (TCONS_00172467)". Lineage: Eukaryota; Metazoa; Chordata; Mammalia; Primates; Hominidae. The record is from RNAcentral.